AUGACUGGACGGCCUUUGCCUACCACUCCAUCUGCUGGGCUGGGCAAAACAGGGAGGAGGUCCCUAGCGGGGCUCUUGCUCUUCUUCUUGCCCUUCUUGCCUUUCUUCUUUCUUCUUCUUCUCCUUCUCCUUCUCCUUCUCCUUCUCCUUCUUUCUUCUUCUCCUUCUCCUUUCUUCUUCUCCUUCUCCUUUCUUCUUCUUCUCCUUCUUCUUUCUUCUUCUUCUUCUCUUCUUCUUCUUCUUCUCCUUCUCCUUCUUCUCCUUCUUUCUUCUUCUCCUUCUCCUUCUUUCUUCUUCUUCUUCUUCUUCUUCUUCUUCUUCUUCUUCUUCUUAUUCUUCUUCUUCUCCUUCUUUCUUCUUCUUCUUCUUCUUCUUCUUCUUCUUCUUCUUCUCCUUCUCCUUCUCCUUCUUCUCCCUCUUUCUUCUUCUCCUCCUUUCUUCUUCUUCUCCUUCUUCUUUCUUCUUCUUCUUCUUUUCUUCUUCUUCUUCUUCUCCUUCUCCUUCUUUCUUCUUCUCCUUCUUUCUUCUUCUCCUUCUCCUUCUUUCUUCUUCUUCUUCCUUCUUCUUCUUCUUCUUCUUCUUCUUCUCCUUCUCCUUCUUUCUUCUUCUCCUUCUUUCUUCUUCUCCUUCUCCUUCUUUCUUCUUCUUUUUCUUCUUCUUCUUCUUCUUCUUCUCCUUCUCCUUCUUUCUUCUUCUUCUUCUUCUUCUUCUUCUUCUUCUUCUCCUUCUCCUCUCUUCUCUCUCUUCCUCCUUUCUUCUUUUUCUUCUCCUUCUUCUUUCUUCUUCUUCUUCUCCUUCUUCUUCUUCUUCUUUCUUCUUCUUCUCCUUCUCCUUCUCCUUCUGUCUUCUUCUCCUUCUCCUCUUUCUUCUUCUCCUCUCCUUUUCUUCUCCGUCUCUCACACACACAGCUUUAUAUAUGGGGAGCUAUUACUUAUCACCAGGCACUUGCCAAGUAUUGUGCUGGUGUUAGAUUGGGUUCGGGUGCUUGGCCUCACGUUUUGUCUGCUUUUCCCUUAG
RNAcentral lists this long non-coding RNA (1017 nucleotides) under Vulpes vulpes (red fox). RNAcentral's name for it is "lncRNA (ENSVVUG00000021297.1)". Lineage: Eukaryota; Metazoa; Chordata; Mammalia; Carnivora; Canidae. The record is from RNAcentral.